This is a long non-coding RNA of Xenia sp. Carnegie-2017, 441 nucleotides long. RefSeq lists it as uncharacterized. The record is from RefSeq and is a predicted model, not a curated record. The transcript has 4 exons. NCBI's taxonomy places the organism in Eukaryota, Metazoa, Cnidaria, Anthozoa, Malacalcyonacea, Xeniidae.
UUCAGAAUUUGGAAAGCAGAUGCGUCAGCCAAACUUGGACCGCUUGCUCCGAGAGAAAAAGCAUCACUCACUUACAACAAGAAACUCAAAGAACGUUACAAGUUUCAUCCUCAAGUUCUAAGAAUAUUAAGACAUCGUCACGUGCCUUCAGCUAUUUACAAAUCUGCGCGAGAGAAGAGGAUAAUGCUCCACUCACGUAAAACUAGAGAGGAGAACAGACGACUACAUAGGCAAAAGAAAAAGUACCCUUUGUUCCUGAGAGAAAAAAGCAAAUUGUGUCGGUAUUGGAGUAAGUGGCUGAUUAUAAUGCAUUUAUGUUGCAUUGCAUCAUACCCUGACGGAAAAUGUGAGUUUGGGUGGAGAGGGUUCACUGGGGGAUCUUUUGCGAUAUUGAAGGUUUUACAAAAGUAACUAAGAUCUUUCUGUAACCAAACGUAACCC